RNAcentral lists this ribosomal RNA (393 nucleotides) under Triticum aestivum (bread wheat). RNAcentral's name for it is "partial small subunit ribosomal RNA". The record is from RNAcentral. Lineage: Eukaryota; Viridiplantae; Streptophyta; Magnoliopsida; Poales; Poaceae.
AUGGACCAGGAAGGGCAUGCUGCAGAGAGGCCUCCAUCCAUAUUUGGUUGCAAGCCAAAAUUAAGAGGCAGCCGCUGGGAUAUCCCUCCUGGAGGUGGAUCGUCAAGUUUCCAAGCCAAUAUUCAAGGGAGUCACCGCGUUUGGAUCCAUGGACUGCACUCUACUUCUACUCGGGCAUCAUAUGACCAUUUGAGGCUUCGAUCGCCUUCGCCAUCUCUUAGUGUAGCUGCGUUUGAUCACCAUAUCCAGGUGGGUAUGGGUGAUGAUCGUUCUGGCAAUCUUUCCGGAGUCGCAACUCCAGUUCAAGAUCAAGAUGAUCCUACUACUGUUCGAGGUGCUAACAGAAUGGAUAUUGAGGAAGUUCAAUUGGGAGAGUCUAUGGACUAUGACUAG